Gadus morhua (Atlantic cod) is the source of this 1272-nucleotide long non-coding RNA. RefSeq lists it as uncharacterized. The record is from RefSeq and is a predicted model, not a curated record. Lineage: Eukaryota; Metazoa; Chordata; Actinopteri; Gadiformes; Gadidae. The transcript has 2 exons.
ACACACACACACACACACACACACACACACACACACACACACACACACACAGAGAGCAAUCAUGCGGGCUCUUGGGUGACUGGUUCUCUUCUGUUCGUGACAUCUGUGGGCUCCGAACAAAAACCUUUCUAUUUCCAUAGCAGCCCCUCGUCCACCCCCCACCCUCAGCCACCCCCAUGUGCACUGCGAGAGCAUGUGCACUUACAAUGUCCCCCAGCUGCAGUGGCUGGUCUGUGAGAAACAGAAUGAAGAGGAGUUAAUAAGUCAGUCAGUGUUUCCCCACUUUCUAACAACGCAAACCUAGUUCUGGUGUUUGGCUGCUGCUUGUGCCGUUUCGCAGGUGGUUAAACUUAAACUACUAAGAACCGGUUGGCUUUUCCACGUUCUAGAGCCACGGCAUUACGUCACUGUAUACAUCUAUACGUCUCUCCGCUUUCCCAUCAACGUGCCCACUUUCAGCACAAAAACAACAAUGGUGGACCAUAUUUGCGCCAAGCCUACAAUGGCCUCCAAACACAUAUUUGUACUGCUUGUCAUGAUUCCUGUGGAGGCCAAUUACCUUCUAGGAGAAAGGUAUUCUUGCGGAUGAAUGCAAGGUGGUCAACUAUUGUGUGUGAACACCCUUGAUCUCACAACUCAGUUUAGUUGUUCCAUGACGAGAACAGUGGAAAGGUUGGGGACAGAUGGCGGGAGGAGUGCUGGCAAGAGUUUGUUGUGUUGGACCACAGAAAGCGUAGCUUAUUGUUAUUUAAAAGAGUCGAGUGAGUUAGGUUUGAGAUUGUAGUGACAAUAGUUUAUUUGAUUCCUGCAACAACUUCACUUGACGGGGCGCUUUUUGUCCUAAGGCUUACAUUGCAGUAGCAAACGAGCUGCAAGGGCUGAAGCACCAUGCUCAAUACUGGACCAUUUAAUUUGUCUGCAUUAGUCAUGUAUGGUCUUUUUGGCCGCACAGUGUCAACUCGACGUGCUUAUCUGUGUUUACGUUACAAGUCUGAAGGCGUAGAAUGGACGAUUGGAGUGAGAAGUUGUCUCUCAAAUUGGAGGAAUAUAGACCUAGAAAAAUACAAUAACUGCAUUCUAAUGUCUCAGGCACAUCGCUAUCAAAUAUGGCGAGUUCUUCGCAGCUUAAUUUGUCUUUAUCGUUGAUUCUGUUUGGAUAGAAGCCCACCGCAGUGAUUUUAGUUUGAUAUUCACACCUGUUUUUCCAUAUCAAGGACAUCGUGUGGCACUCUGCAAAAUAAAUAUGAAACAUUUUCCAAUGUGUAAACAACA